RNAcentral lists this ribosomal RNA (468 nucleotides) under uncultured bacterium. Its description in RNAcentral is "partial 16S ribosomal RNA". It matches the Rfam family "Bacterial small subunit ribosomal RNA", at positions 28 to 507 of the family's 1533-position model. The record is from RNAcentral.
GACGAACGCUGGCGGCGUGCUUAACACAUGCAAGUCGAACGGAAAGGCCCUGCUUUUGUGGGGUGCUCGAGUGGCGAACGGGUGAGUAACACGUGAGUAACCUGCCCUUGACUUUGGGAUAACUUCAGGAAACUGGGGCUAAUACCGGAUAGGAGCUCCUGCUGCAUGGUGGGGGUUGGAAAGUUUCGGCGGUUGGGGAUGGACUCGCGGCUUAUCAGCUUGUUGGUGGGGUAGUGGCUUACCAAGGCUUUGACGGGUAGCCGGCCUGAGAGGGUGACCGGCGACAUUGGGACUGAGAGAGGGACCAGACUCCUACGGGAGGCAGCAGUGGGGAAUAUUGCACAAUGGGCGGAAGCCUGAUGCAGCAACGCCGCGUGCGGGAUGACGGCCUUCGGGGUGUAAACCGCUUUCGCCUGUGACGAAGCGUGAGUGACGGUAAUGGGUAAAGAAGCACCGGCUAACUACGUG